RNAcentral lists this ribosomal RNA (246 nucleotides) under uncultured bacterium. Its description in RNAcentral is "partial 16S ribosomal RNA". It matches the Rfam family "Bacterial small subunit ribosomal RNA", at positions 118 to 348 of the family's 1533-position model. The record is from RNAcentral.
UGGGUAACCUGCCUCAAAGAGGGGAAUAGCCUCCCGAAAGGGGAGAUUAAUACCGCAUAAUAUGUUUAAGUCGCAUGACUUUAACAUCAAAGGNUUUUCUUUUAGAACUUCCACUUUGAGAUGGACCCGCGGCGCAUUAGCUAGUUGGUGAGGUAACGGCUCACCAAGGCAACGAUGCGUAGCCGACCUGAGUAGGGUGAUCCGGCCACAUUGGAACUGAGACACGGUCCAGACUCCGUAGGGAGG